UAGAGAAUAAUAUAGUGGGAGUAUGGAGGGUUUUGAUCUCUUCAGUGCAGGUUCGAGUCCUGCUUUUCUA
Molecule: transfer RNA, 70 nt
Filed under: Batrachostomus cornutus
Lineage: Eukaryota; Metazoa; Chordata; Aves; Caprimulgiformes; Batrachostomatidae
Description: tRNA-Gln
Rfam family: tRNA
About the family: Transfer RNA (tRNA) molecules are approximately 80 nucleotides in length. Their secondary structure includes four short double-helical elements and three loops (D, anti-codon, and T loops). Further hydrogen bonds mediate the characteristic L-shaped molecular structure. tRNAs have two regions of fundamental functional importance: the anti-codon, which is responsible for specific mRNA codon recognition, and the 3' end, to which the tRNAs corresponding amino acid is attached (by aminoacyl-tRNA synthetases). tRNAs cope with the degeneracy of the genetic code in two manners: having more than one tRNA (with a specific anti-codon) for a particular amino acid; and 'wobble' base-pairing, i.e. permitting non-standard base-pairing at the 3rd anti-codon position.
Source: RNAcentral